UGGUGGGAGCGAUCAAGGGGCAAACAGAUUCCUUCUCCUGGCCCAAUUUAGGGUUAGAAUGAGGAAAAACUCACUAAUAUUUCAUAGAGUGGUCAGAGAUGGGGAAUUUUCUGGAUUUUGUCAAGUUUUCAAAAAAUGCCAGAGGAACUACAGGAUGUCAUAUGAAGUGUAGAAUGAAUGGGAUUUUGGAUACUAAUUUCUGAAACAUCUUAGAAUCUCUGAUAAAAAGUCUAGGGACAUGGAAGCUGUAGGUCUGGUUGCACAAUUUAAGCAGGACCUCACCUAUGGCAUUUAUUUGAACUAUUUCACUAAGUCGGUGACUGUUUCCUGUGAGGACAACUUUUGUUAAGCAUGUCUGCCUGGUGCUGUGAGGAAGCCUCCACACCAAACAUUUGCCCGAAGUUUAAGGAAACGAAUGAAUCUGCAUACUUUAUUGCAAAUGGUAGAUUGCCUAAUCUAAGUAUCACUGGCAAAUUGGCUACUGAUGGUAGGAAUAAGCUUCUCUGAAGAACAUCACAAGGCCCAGGAGCUUUUCUGUGAAGAUGAUCAGAGGCUUCUCUGAGAAGCUCCAGGAAACCUGGAAUAAUGUGAAGACAAAACCAAGGGAUACUGAAAUUGUAAUCAACAAUAAGAAAAUAAAUAUACAAAACUGUAAGCUGAGGGUGAAAAACGACAUCUAGAAUACCUGGAAAAUCAUAGGAAAAAAAACUUGGAGGAACUGGUGAAGAAUGAAGCCCAAGUGUCUCGGCAUAUGCAGCACUCGCAAAAGAAGACUGGAGAUGUAGAGGAUUACUUUAAAAAACCAGACUCAGAGAUGCUUUUGG
Long non-coding RNA from Sarcophilus harrisii (Tasmanian devil), 824 nucleotides. RefSeq lists it as uncharacterized. NCBI's taxonomy places the organism in Eukaryota, Metazoa, Chordata, Mammalia, Dasyuromorphia, Dasyuridae. The record is from RefSeq and is a predicted model, not a curated record. The transcript has 4 exons.